RNAcentral lists this unclassified non-coding RNA (389 nucleotides) under Hevea brasiliensis (rubber tree). Lineage: Eukaryota; Viridiplantae; Streptophyta; Magnoliopsida; Malpighiales; Euphorbiaceae. The record is from RNAcentral.
GCACCAUAGUGUCCUACUCCUUUGAGAGAUUAAGAGUGAUGAAGGACAGGGAUAUGAGGAAACUAGUAUGUAGCUUGGAUAUAAAUCAAGAGAUAGUUGAUGUUUUUCAAAAUGCGCGAGUCAAGUGGAGUUUGAAAUUUAGACAUGUGGAAGCAACUGAUCAUAGGAGAGAACACUUUAUAAGAUUCUAUGAGUUAAGUUUUCAGAAGAAACAUCAGGAAACUGUGUUGAAUUCUUACAUGCCAUACAUUUCAGAGCGAUCAAAGGCUAUUAGAGAAGAAUGCAAGGCAAUAACGCUCUAUCAGGUAGGCUCAGAAUAUACCGUCGAUUUCGAUCACCCAAUAACGUUUGAGACCCUUGCAAUGGAUUCAGAGAUCAAAGCAAUGGUG